Molecule: long non-coding RNA, 827 nt
Filed under: Homo sapiens (human)
Lineage: Eukaryota; Metazoa; Chordata; Mammalia; Primates; Hominidae
Description: HSALNT0327565
Source: RNAcentral
AAGAAGGGUAAGAAGUAAAGGAGAGGGAGGAAAGGAGUUGAAAGAAUAAGAGAAUGAGGUGAAAGCUGAAGUCCCCACAGAGGGCCUAAUAUUUAAAUAUGUGAAAAGCAGGCACAGCUGGAAGGCAGAGCAUCUAGAUCUCCAGAAAUCAAGGAUUCCACAUUUACUUUGAAUCCCUGGUUUCUUCCAAAAGGGAAAUGCCACAAGACUAGGCCGUGCAACAUUUCCGCAGUGCUCCUCGCUACAAAGACAUUCCCCUAAGGCUGGUGGGCAACUCAACACUCAGCUCAGUACGUGGUCAGCUCGUCCUCCAUAGGAGCCUUAUGCCUUGGUGAGGAGAUCUCUGAAGAAAUUGCUGAUGAAAGUCCAACAGGCUCUUCCAGUUUGUCUGGUCGGUCACAUUUGCUGAAACCUGGAGGAAUUGUUAGUGGAAGCUCAACAGGCCUGACUCAGUCUGACUGUCCAUUCUUCUGGAAGCUGCAGAGAAAAGAAACCUGGAAACCUUAUAUGCUGACAAAAAGGGACACAAUUGGAUAUGAUGGUUAUUUUACCAAGGUUUUGAAAUGUCGUGCUUUCAAAUAUAAACAGACUGCUUUAAGGAAUCGAAGUUGACUUAUAGAGCCAAUAAAAGCCCUGCAGGAAAGCUGGCCUCAUACUUUGUCUACACAGUCUCUGUACAGGUUUCCUGACCUGUGAGACAACAUCACUAUUGCAAAACCUAAGAUCAGUGCUGGAGAUAUUUUGCAGACCCUGCACUUGAUAGAUCAGCUGGCACCACCCAGAUGGAUAAACUGGCUCAUCUGAUCUCGUGGCCUCCACCGGGAACU